Molecule: ribosomal RNA, 460 nt
Filed under: uncultured bacterium
Lineage: Bacteria
Description: partial 16S ribosomal RNA
Rfam family: Bacterial small subunit ribosomal RNA
Source: RNAcentral
CCUACGGGGGGCAGCAGUGAGGAAUAUUGGUCAAUGGGCGAGAGCCUGAACCAGCCAAGUCGCGUGAAGGAUGACGGCCCUACGGGUUGUAAACUUCUUUUGUCAGGGAGCAAUUGAGUCCACGUGUGGGCUUAGCGAGAGUACCUGAAGAAAAAGCAUCGGCUAACUCCGUGCCAGCAGCCGCGGUAAUACGGAGGAUGCGAGCGUUAUCCGGAUUUAUUGGGUUAAAAGGGUGCGUAGGCGGAAUAUCAAGUCAGCGGUAAAAAUUCGGGGCGCAACCCCGUCGUGCCGUUGAAACUGGCUGUCUUGAGAUGUCGAGAGGUAUGCGGAAUGCGCAGUGUAGCGGUGAAAUGCUUAGAUAUUGCGCAGAACUCCGAUUGCGAAGGCAGCAUACCGGCGGCGAUCUGACGCUGAGGCACGAAAGCGUGGGUAUCGAACAGGAUUAGAUACCCUUGUAGUC